Long non-coding RNA from Panicum virgatum (switchgrass), 599 nucleotides. RefSeq lists it as uncharacterized. The record is from RefSeq and is a predicted model, not a curated record. The transcript is spliced from 2 exons. Lineage: Eukaryota; Viridiplantae; Streptophyta; Magnoliopsida; Poales; Poaceae.
UAUAAUUUGCGAGACGAAUCUUUUGAGCCUAAUUAACUCAUGACGGGAUAAUAAUUAUCAAAUACAAACGAAUGUGCUACAGUACUUUACGCCCAAAAAUUUUCACAUCUAAACAGGGCCUAAACAAGCCCUAAGCUUUAAAGCUGAUGUCCUGAGCUUUCUUUGUUGUCCGUUUCUGUGGGAUGUCUUCAUGUAUAUAAAUGGUGUAGGAUACAAUGUAUGCAGCGUGGGUGCGGGGGGCUGGAGCCCGCCCCCCCCCCCCCCCCGGGGCCCCACAGCUCGCCCUAAAAAUUUGGGAGGCCAUCGAUGAAGGAAGGGGGGAGGCUUCGCCCCUGAGUGUAGGGCUGCUAUGAUUAACAUCAACAGUUGCUGCAUGAUAUCUGAAUCUGAGCACAGCUGAGGCCUGAGGCUCCGCAAAAUCCUGUCGACUGCUCGCAGUCACCAGAGUCCUCGGUACUUAUCAAGUUCAAAUCUCGAACUAUUGUGAGUCUGGUUCUUCUUUUUUUUUGCCUUAAGGAAUACAGACUAAGACAGCAAUCUCAUAAUUUGCUUCAUAUAUUCAGUUCCUCGACAUGCAAAUACCACUAGUACAUUUGAUA